CGGGGUUAUUGUAGAAGCUUGCUUCUAAAUAACCUAGCGGCGGACGGGUGAGUAACACGUAGGCAACCUGCCCACAAGACAGGGAUAACUACCGGAAACGGAAGCUAAUACCCGAUACAUCCUUUUCCUGCAUGGGCGAAGGAGGAAAGACGGAGCAAUCUGUCACUUGUGGAUGGGCCUGCGGCGCAUUAGCUAGUUGGUGGGGUAAAGGCCUACCAAGGCGACGAUGCGUAGCCGACCUGAGAGGGUGAUCGGCCACACUGGGACUGAGACACGGCCCAGACUCCUACGGGAGGCAGCAGUAGGGAAUCUUCCGCAAUGGGCGAAAGCCUGACGGAGCAACGCCGCGUGAGUGAUGAAGGUUUUCGGAUCGUAAAGCUCUGUUGCCAGGGAAGAACGUCUUGUAGAGUAACUGCUACAAGAGUGACGGUACCUGAGAAGAAAGCCCCGGCUAACUACGUGCCAGCAGCCGCGGUAAUACGUAGGGGGCAAGCGUUGUCCGGAAUUAUUGGGCGUAAAGCGCGCGCAGGCGGCUCUUUAAGUCUGGUGUUUAAUCCCGAGGCUCAACUU
This 570-nucleotide ribosomal RNA is filed under the name Paenibacillus sp. PDA-43-9. RNAcentral describes it as "bacterial SSU rRNA". It matches the Rfam family "Bacterial small subunit ribosomal RNA", at positions 67 to 615 of the family's 1533-position model. The record is from RNAcentral. Lineage: Bacteria; Bacillati; Bacillota; Bacilli; Caryophanales; Paenibacillaceae.